Lycium barbarum (goji berry) is the source of this 873-nucleotide long non-coding RNA. RefSeq lists it as uncharacterized. Lineage: Eukaryota; Viridiplantae; Streptophyta; Magnoliopsida; Solanales; Solanaceae. The record is from RefSeq and is a predicted model, not a curated record. The transcript has 3 exons.
CAACACGUAGUACUUUUUAAAAAUUCCUUUAGUUCUGUUCGCCCAAUCCGCGCUUGCCACGUGGGCAUGACGCGGAUCAAGCCUUUCUUUUGAUCUGGGUCGUCCAGCUAUUUAAUCCGAUGGUCCUCACUUUUCCCAUUUGUUUUGUUUUUUUUCUUUUUCUUUUUUCCUUUAUAUAUAUAUAUAUAUAUAUAUUCCUUUUCAUUUAAAUGUUUCUUUUAAUCUGGACCAUCGAUCAAUAUUUGAUCAACGGCCCAAAUUAAAUCCCCACCUUUAAUCCCAUCAGAUCCCCAAAACAUAGAAACCCUUACACCCACAAACCUCUCCCAUCGCCGCCUGCUCCCACCUUCUCCUCUCUUCUUUUUCCUCCUUCCCCAUGCCAAAGGACAACCAUGGCAGACGAAGCCCACAUCCCUCUCGUCCUUUCCUCACUAUUCACAACGUCACCAUGGUACUCGAAGCCAUGGCAAAAUCUUCCACUCCGCCGAAUCCUCAACGAUUUCGAAUCUAGGGAAUCAAAGUUGAAAUCGAUUCAAACACUCUUGGACCCAUUUCGUUGCUCAAAAUCAGUCUAAACAGUAGCAGGCAAAAAGCACAUGCAGUAGCAGCAGCCUCGCAGUGACAAAAAUAUUGCAAAUCUCGGGCAGAAGUAUGAGAGAACCUAGGACAGGGCUUUUAGACUCUCUCGGACUAAGCCCGAGUAUUAUAAUAUCUUGGAUUGAGCCAAAAAUCCAAGUCUCUUUAACUCUUUCUCCUUUAACUUCUGAUAUCAUUUGUAUUUCUGUGGAAACCCCUUUUGAGAACUAAAUAAAGCCCCAGCAGGCAUUUGAAAUACGUUAAAGUUGCUAUUUUACGUUUUCAGCUUUCGUCAAU